GAAACAGAGCAGGAAAAAGUGGAGUCCUUGCUUUGUGUGCUGAGGCACCGGUGGGGGUUCAAUGCGGGCGUUAACAUCCACUAUAAGUGGUUGCAUCUGCACGUGAUACGCGAGAUGCUGUGUCAAGUGAACGAGCUGGAAAACUUUAAGAGAACAUGCUUCGGGCACAUGCUGGAUGUCGAAGCAGACAAGAGUUUAUUCUGCGUCAGUCUUGUGCACAUUCUAAUGCUGCGCAAAAUCAACAAACCUGAUACCACGGAGGCAGAGUUAUGGUUCGCAAUAGGGAAAACGAAUGCUCAUUUUUCUAAGAGGGAGUUUUGUCUGGUGACAGGACUGAAGUUUGGUCCCCUACCGACCUUCAUUGUCAAUCCCUACAAGGCCCUCCCUAGAGGAAUUCACCUAUGAUAUUGGGGACUUGGGAAGGAGGUGAAGAUCCAACAGGUUUUAGAUACCUUCAAGGGAGGGCAGUUUCAGCAAAAGGGAGACACAAGCAAGACGGCCCUCGUCUUGAUCGCGAUCAAUGUUUUAUUUGGUCAAGACUAUAGAUGAUCUGUGGUUCCAUGGUUGUUGUCGCUGGUCGAGAACAUGGACGAGUGGAAUGCAUUCCCAUGGGACAUAUACUUGUGGAGUCUGACCGUGGAUUACUUGUUGAGGGGUUUCGAAUCUCUUGCUGCAGGUGAAGCAGAUAAGAAGCGCUACCACCUUUAUGGAUUCAUAUGGGCGUUUCAGUUUUGGGCGUUGGAAGCAAUACCUGAAAUCAGAAGCUUGUUGAAAAGGAAGCAGCAGUCCAGACAGGUUUGGCCAAGAAUGCUUAAAUGGCAAUGUGACGAGAGGCCUACAAGUUUCCAUGCCAAUAUUGCAAGUUUGGAGAGAGACGGCAAGUUGUGGGCAGUGAGAACAUUGGAGCCAACGGCAGAGGAAAUGUUGACCGCAUAAUGGGCAAACAUUGAGGUCAAUAUCUUCGAGGGGUAGCAAUACAUUCCAUUAUGAAAGUUGGAGGGUCGCCCAGAAUUCGGUCCUCAGCAAAGGAGGAAAAUAAUGGACCGUAAAAGGAAAAGUCCAGUACGAUAAGCCGUUAAGCGGAGACGCACAGUAGAAGAGGAGGUCCAUUCCGAUUUUGGUGCUGCUAAGGCACCUCAUUCUCCUCUUGCAGCUGUUCAUGGUGCUUCUCCUGCUGCUCAUCAUGCUGCUACUCCUGCUCCUCCUCUUUCUACUUCUACUGUUGCCCCUCCUUCUGCUUCAAGUGUUGCCCUUUAUGCUGAGCCGCGCAAAUGGGCACUACGUCUUCAAAUGACUACUAGCAUUAAGCAAGAGCUGCAAAAUAUGAGGACACAGUGGAAGAAAGACCUCCAAUCAUUACAGAUGAAUAUGCAGAUACAGAUGCAGUCAAUGCAAUUCGAGAUCCAGCAAUCAAUACAGUUAGAGAUCCAGCAAGCGAGGCAAAUGCAGUUAAUGCAGUUGGAGAUCCAGCAGUCAAUGUAGUUGGAGAUCCAGCGGGCGAUGCAGAUGCAGACGCAGUCACUGCAUGAGCAUAUCCAGCACUCACUGCAAGGGCUGGAGAAUCGAAUUAUCGAUCGAUUGAUCGAUCAUUUUGAGGGUCGAAUCUCACCUCCUCGUAGCUCGAUUAAACAUCAUCCUGAUCUUAUCCCAUCUCCGGUAGAGGUAGCCCAGCAUUCUCAGCCCACACUUAGGCUCCACUUCCUCCGUCUGAGCUCGAAGAGGGACCUCAUCCUCUGAGUAGUGGAACUACAACUUUCGCACGUCCUGCUCUUGUCCCAACUCCAGCAGAGGCCUCUCUGCAUGGUGAGAUCACACCUUUUGCUAAGGCUCCACCUCCACUUGAGCCCAAAGAUGCACGUGUGAUCUUGGCCAGCAAAUACCUUCGAAGCCCGUACGUUAACCCGCUAUUAGUUCAGCGCAAAGCGAAGGACUAUUUGAAGGACAUGUAUGAGUCCUUUCUGAAAAACGACCAAGACAAGUAAAAUGAAAACAAUAGACCAUAUUAGGGUUAACAGUUCUAGGGUAUUUAUUACAUACAUAGACCUUUUGACAUGGGUAUUAUUAUGUGGAAAUCGUGAGGAAUGACCUUGGUAGUAAGGUAACUUCACUAUAAUUUAAAUUUAACACUAUUUUAAAUAUGCAGGGUUAACAUUCUGGGCAUCAAAGGGCAGUAGGGCCCUGAUUUUUUUCGGCAAUUGGAGAUGCCGACAGAGUUGAUGGACACCCAACAGAUUGAUGCAUGCAUCAGUGUGUUGUGUAAGCGGGUGCAUGAGCACCAUCCACAACACUACGAGCAGAGAAUAUGCAUUGUUGACACCACAUUCUAUCUUAUUUUGCUCCAUCUGAACCAAGAAAUGCGGCCUUCCCCCAUCGAGAAGACAUUCAAGCUGAGUGAGGUGAUUUUGCCAGACGAUGUGUUUGCUUAUGCAAAGGGUGGGAGACCUCCGUGGGGUUUGCCAUGGCAUGAGGUUGACUCAAUUCUUGUACUGUGUUUUUUCGACGGCCAUUGGGUGGUAGUGCAUGUUAACUUGCUGAAAUGGACUAUGAUGUUAGUGGACUCAUCGUACAGUCGAAAAGAAGCACGUGAUACACAGAUGAGUCCACUAACAUUAUUAUUUCCCAUUAUAUGCCACCAGGCGGGGUACUUUGUCAGCUCAUGCCGUCAAAAGUGAGCUUUGACGCGGAUGAAAUAUAGGUUAAAUGAGAAGACCCCGAUACAGCAAGAUUCGCACAGUUGUGGGGAUUGGGUUAUAGCAUCGUUGCAGUGGUUGAUCGGCUCGGAGGAUCAGACGCUGAAGGCAAACGCCAUAGAAGGCAUUCAAACAAAGUUUGCCCUUGAGAUUUUUGCUAAUAGCUUAAGUUGUUAAAUUUUUUAAUUUGUUUAUUCUUUUUCAAUCUGUAAAUAAAA
Molecule: non-coding RNA, 2908 nt
Organism: Theobroma cacao (cacao)
Lineage: Eukaryota; Viridiplantae; Streptophyta; Magnoliopsida; Malvales; Malvaceae
Source: RefSeq, a predicted model, not a curated record